Molecule: ribosomal RNA, 704 nt
Filed under: Zerene cesonia (dogface butterfly)
Lineage: Eukaryota; Metazoa; Arthropoda; Insecta; Lepidoptera; Pieridae
Description: partial large subunit ribosomal RNA
Source: RNAcentral
AUAUAUGCCGAAUUCCUUUUUUUUAAUUAUUUUUUAAUUUUAUUAAAUUUAUAUAUAUAUAUAUAUAUAUAUAUAUAUAUAUAUAUAUAUAUAUUAAUUUAUAUACUAAUUUUAUCAUAAUAACUAAUUUUAAUUAAUUUAAAAUUAUUUUUUUAUAAAAAUUUAAAUAUAAUUUUAAAUUUUAAAAUUAAUAAAAUUAUUUAUAAAAAAUUAUAAUUUAUAAAAAAUAUAAAUUUUAAAAAAUUUAAAAAACUUUUUUUAAUAUUAUAAAAAUUUAUUUUAAAGCUUAUCCCUUAAAAUAUUUAAUUAAUUAUAUUAUUUUAUAAAAUAAAUUUAUAAAAUAAAAAAAAAUUAAUUUAAAAUUAAAUUUUUUUCUAAAAAAACUAGAUAUUUUUAAAAACGAUUAACAUUUCAUUUCAAAUUAAUUAUUUAAAAUAAUUAUGCAAUAUUAACUUUAAUAAUUAAUUAUCUCUUUUAAAUUCGAGAUAUUUUAUCUAAAAAUAUUAUUUAAUAAACUCUGAUACACAAGAUACAACAAAUUAAAUUUACUUAUUUAAUAAUUUAUUUUCAAAAUUUUUCAAAAUUCUUUUACAAUACUAUUUUACUAUAAAUUAAUAAAUUUUUUCUUAAAAAAUACUUUAACCCCCAUUAAUGAUUUUUUAAAAUUAUUUUUAUUAUUUAUAAUUAUUAUUAAUUUCCCCCUA